AACGAACGCUGGCGGCAUGCCUAACACAUGCAAGUCGAACGAGACCUUCGGGUCUAGUGGCGCACGUGUGCGUAACGCGUGGGAACCUGCCCUUAGGUUCGGAAUAACUCCCCGAAAGGGGUGCUAAUACCGGAUAAUGUCUUCGGACCAAAGAUUUAUCGCCUUUGGAUGGGCCCGCGUUGGAUUAGCUAGUUGGUAGGGUAAAAGCCUACCAAGGCGACGAUCCAUAGCUGGUCUGAGAGGAGGAUCAGCCACACUGGGACUGAGACACGGCCCAGACUCCUACGGGAGGCAGCAGUGGGGAAUAUUGGACAAUGGGCGAAAGCCUGAUCCAGCAAUGCCGCGUGAGAGAUGAAGGCGUUAGGGUUGUAAAGCUCUUUUACCCGGGAUGAUAAUGACAGUACCGGGAGAAUAAGCUCCGGCUAACUCCGUG
This 433-nucleotide ribosomal RNA is filed under the name uncultured bacterium. RNAcentral describes it as "partial 16S ribosomal RNA". It matches the Rfam family "Bacterial small subunit ribosomal RNA", at positions 29 to 507 of the family's 1533-position model. The record is from RNAcentral.